Salvelinus namaycush (lake trout) is the source of this 1994-nucleotide long non-coding RNA. RefSeq lists it as uncharacterized. The record is from RefSeq and is a predicted model, not a curated record. Lineage: Eukaryota; Metazoa; Chordata; Actinopteri; Salmoniformes; Salmonidae. The transcript has 2 exons.
GUUCAUCCCGCAAUGAUUGUUUUCAGCCACUGGUAGCUUGUGCUUUAUAUGCUCUACAGUCAAUUAUGAUUGCAUUUCUACUUAUAGUAACUAUAUAAUUAUUAAUAUACGCCUACUGUAUGAUAGCUAGAAAAUGAAUUAGCUGACGUUAUCCUGCCUAGUUGGAACUUCUGAAGGAAAAUGUGUUAUUUCUACAAUUUCCAAAAGCUAACCAAACAAAAACAUCAUUACUUUUAUGAGACCGUCAUGUGCAUUAGAAGCACAAUUUCUAACCUGUUUACUUACACUUGUAUGUUGACGUUUUACGUUUCGGUGGACUUUUCUUAGCGGAUGUACAAUCAACGCGAAUUGAAUUAUGGGGGGUUUCAGGACCGAAAUGAACAUAAUUGUACACUCUCAAAAUCGACGGCUGCGGGGCUUAUGUUGCGAACUUCCGUUGUUUGGACCGACGUCCAAGAUGGUGACGGGGAUUCCCCCAAGGGCAUAAGGCGUGGGUGCAGAAUGCCAUGUAUGGAGGCUUGACAGGGGUGUACAGAUGAGCAAUGCCAGUGGAAUUUGGGGACACAGCGGAAUUUAGCUCCAAAAAGGUUGAGCAAGAUCUUUUGAGUUCUCUGACAGCACCCCGGGCGCUUCUCCAUCUCUACCUGCAACCCCUGCAUACCACUCCCACAACGCACUUAAGAAGAGUUUGGAAGGGGCCAAUGUUCCACUUGGAGCCUUCUGCACAAGUGCAUCAAAGCUAAACCAAACAGUCAUCAAGUUCCAGCAGCAGCCUCACAGUGAACACGGCAUCAACAUACAGUGUCAGAAAUGCUUGUAAUUUUAUGACUUUUUUAUAUUAAGCUGGAGGAGUGUAAAUGUGCCAGCUUGGAGGAGGAAUAACACGACUACGCCCCCAUUAACAAUGGACAUGGCUCCUUGACACUCACUACUGUGCCUCUACUCUCCAAACUAAACCCACAGCUCUCCAUCCAUGUGUAGGCUAAAGCACAGAGUGCCACCUAUGCAUGGUAUGACACACUUACAUUUCAGAUCACUGCAAGCUCAGUAAAGAAGGUUCCUGUGCGCACCUCAACAAAUCCUGACCACUUUGUGCAGGAGCAUCUCUUCCCCAGGUUCCAUGGAAACUCAGAAACCACAUCUGGUAAGGAAAACGAGCAGGUGGCCUACACAUGGAUGGAGAGCUGUGGGUUUAGUUUGGAGAGUAGAGGCACAGUAGUGAGUGUCAAGGAGCCAUGUCUUUCUGCAAGCCCCCAGAUGGAGUGUUACACUCUCAAGAACUUCUAGAAAUCAAAUGUCCUACUCUGAGUGAGAAGUGUGAGUCUCUGGCAAACUCAUCGACGUGAAGCUGGUGGAUGGAGUUCCUCAGCUGCAACAUAAUGGAGCCUUUGGGUACUACAUGCAGGAGCAAUUGGGCAUGUUCUGCACAGGACUGGAGAUAUGCAAACUGCUGUCUGGGCUCUGUCCGAGCUGGUUGUUAUUGAUGUGCCAAUUGAUGUAAAGUUCUGUGCUGAUGUUAUCCCUAAACUGAAGGCAUUCUAUUUCCUACAUAUGCUGCCAAGGGUAGUAUAUGAGUUCCAGUUAGGCAGACUGUGUGCUCAAAAUAUGUUAAUCUAUGUGGUAUCUAGGCUAAUACUUUGUUUUGAAACGGUUCUUGUAUUUUGUGCCUUGUAAAGAUCUCUCUGUUAGCUCUACCUUAUUAUCUAAGCAUAACUCUUGGUGUUUUUUGUUGUCUUGCACAGUUCUCUUCAUAUGCACAUUUACCUGAUUUAUAUUUGCAUAAUUCUUGGUGUUUUUUAUGUCUUGCCUUGUAUAACUCUUCAUACAUGUUUAUCUAAUGCCUAAGGAUAACUCCUUAUGAUUUAUGAAUAUUUUAAUUGUACCUUGUAUAGCUCUUUAUUUUCAUUUGGCGCUUCAUUAACUUAUCUAGGCAUACCGUAACUCAUCUUGCACUUGAGGAAUUAUGGCAUUAAUAAAAACAAUGAAAUUCCACU